AUUAAGCGCCGCAAAUGAGAAAAAUGAUCAAUUAAAAGAUAUCUGAAAAAAUUACCGUUUUCCAGCCAUCUGGGUCUACGAAAGAGGUGAUUUUGGUGUUGAGUCCAGGGAUUGGUCCGGGUUGUCGAGUUAUCUUCCCUCCAAGCUCUUCGGUAACCAGGUUGACAACCUCAGCACUUUUGUAUACAUCAUCAGUACUAAUAGCAACCUACAAAUGAUACCACAAUCAUGAAAAAUAAGUGUGUUCUCAAAUGAAGAAAUAGUCACUGAUGCUUCCACUUGGACUUAUCUUUACCUGAGCAUAUGCAUUUCCCUUGGUAUAUUCAGUCACACCAUAACUAUAAGCUAACUCCAGAACAGUAGUCUGAUUUUCCUCAGCAUAUCCAAGCAUGGCCAGGGCGCACUGUGAUAUAAAUGAAACCACCAAGAUAGGAAAUACAUUACUAAUAUGGGUCACCCUAAUUAAAGUGAAUAAAAUCUUCAAAAGGAGAGGCAGUUCACCUUCAAUUCAGGACUAUCAAUUGUCCUUAACAGUUUCAUCCCCAAAGCCUGCAGAGACCCAACUAACACAACAUCAUUUAAUGGCAGAUCCUUUGGAUUAAAAAGCAAACUAUAAGCAGAUUUGAUAACUAAUACAGGUGAUCCACCGUUGGACAAUAAUGAAAAAAGUGCUGGCAUAAUGCAAGAUGAUCCACAACAGCUUUAGCGAUGAAAAUGAACCACUGGAUUCACAGUUAAACAUACCCAUUGCAACAGGUUUAGCAAGAAAUGGGAAUAAGAGAUCCAGUUACACAUACAGUAUUCAAGCAGAAGAUAGACCUUUUGUCAGACUACCUUUUCAUAGAACUUGAUGGAGCGACCAAGAUCACCAACGCGAAGCAUUACUUGACAGAGUGGUUCAGGAGUUGGACCUCUCUGGAUGAGUUCAAAAAUAUAACCAUCGGGAUCCUUCACAAAGGCAAAGUGAGUUGUCAUACCUUUAAGUGGACCAGGCUCUCUAGUGACAUUGCCACCCUUGGCACGAAUGCUUUCAACCAUUUUGUAAACCUUGAAAUUCCAUGGUAUGCUAGUUCAAUUUCAGUGCUUAGAUAAAAACCAGUGCUCAAAAUCAGUAAAUAUUUUACGACACUUACAUCUUCAGUUGCAAUUGCAAGAUGGCCAAAACCAGUUCCAAUAUCAUAUGAAGUUACACCAUAGUCUGUAAUCAAUAGCAAAGUAAACUCUCAGAAAUAGAUAGAAAAAAAUAGAACCCCAUUCAUAAUCAUUUCCCAAGAAGUACAAUUCUAAUGCAAUUUUCAAGAAGUAGUAACUCUUAUGUUUAGACAAAGAAAAAGUAAGAGCACCAUACUGUAUGUUAACUCCACAACAAAGUAAGACUGUUCGGGGCCAAAUCCAAGAAAGGCAUUUGAGUAUUUCUCUUCUGGGACGUCUCUCUUUCUCAACAGCUUCAUCCCAAAGCAUUCAGUGUAAAAUCUGAAGACAAAAGUACAGAAGAAUAUGAGGACAUCCAAGCACCCAAAAUAAUCAACUACAUCAGGAGCAGUUAAUGUGUUAAAGACAUACUUGAUGGUGCGAUCAAGAUCACCAACACGAUACACAGCAUGAAGGAAGCGUCGCUUAUCUUUCUUUGGCCAUUCCAGCAACUCGACAUUAGCAGCAGCAGGAGAAGCCUCAGCCAUGUUGAUAUGGAAUCACUCUGUUUCCAUUCACAGCAAUGUAAAUAUGAAUAAUAAGACAAAUACAAAUCAUUAGUCUAAUAAUAAAAUAAUCGUACUAUUCUCUUUAGAAAUGUAUACAGCAACACACAAGCAUUCAUUUCAUGACACAAUUACGGAUGUGUAGACUUGAGAUAGCAGUAACCCAAACUUCUUGAUCCGAUAGAAUAGAAACGUAUCAAAUAAAAGUCUCCAGCAUAAUUCAGUAACGUAACGUAAGCCUCAGCCCUCGGUCAUAGCAAAAAUUAACAUAAAAACUAACAAGAGGACACAAAUAUCAGUCGCAUUGGAGCCGAUCCUAGUUUAUGAAAGGUCGGAAAUCAAAAGGACCAUAACAAGAGGAAGAAAAGAGAGCUUACCAGAAAGUCGGAGUGAAGCCGCAAGUGUGAGAAGAUGAUCUAUUUUCUGGACUUAGCUAUGGUGCAACUCUAGUAUGAUACCAUAGCUAUACUUAAUCAUUAAAUUCAACUACUUAAUCAUUGCGUCUCUCACUAUAACUAAAUUCAAUGAUUAAGUGCAGCUAUACACAAUUAUACCAUAGCUGGACCCUCUAUUUACUGAACUUACAUUAUCUUGUUCUGGACUUGACUAGCUAACAGAAUCUGUAAGCUACAGACUGCAGCAUCAGCCGUUGGAUGUGGGUGAGAAACUAAACAAUAGAAAAUCGAAUGGUGGGAUGACGGGAGAUGUUUGUUCUUGUUCUUUAAAUUAUCUUGUUUCUAUCCUCUGAAAAAAAAAAAAAUUAUCCUGUUUCCAUGGAUUCCUUUAGAGUCAUUGUCUGUUACUGAAGGAUGACUGAUGAAAUCAGAUCAACGAUUGAGAUUUGCCUGUGGCUUUUUAGGGUAACGGCUUCGUUGGGGUUUAGUUGUUUGGAUUUUGGAAUAUCAAGCCGGCGAUUUGACCUACGGUCGGACCCGUGUAUGAUUCAAAGCUGUGCCUGUGAUUAAGCGGCGAACUAUAAUCACGUGGCAUUAUUAUAUUAAACAUGUGAUUUCAUAUCUUAUUUAAAUAAAUAAAUACAUUAUUCAUUCCCAUUCCCAAAAAGUAAAGACUCUAUACAACUGAUUAUUUUCACAAUAAAAUCGACAAUAAUUAUUUUAAAAAUUAUUACAUUAUUUUUUUUAACUCUUAUUCUUAAAAUAAUUAAGAGAUAAUUUCCCUAAAUAAAAUUCGGCUGGUGACACGGGAAAAAGGGCCACGAUUCCUCUUAUCCGUAAACAAAUGCAUGAAAAUGGAUACUACUUCUCAAUUAAAUUCCGUGAAGUUUUCAUUCGCAUUCGUUUUCUCUUUGAAGUCGUCACAGUUUAGUCUCGAUUGGAGAUUGAUUGACGUGAAUUCUUCCAUCAAGCCUAACGCUCUGAAACAAGCUGCAAGCCCAACUCGACGGUCAAACUGAAGCCCUUUACAUACAAGAUCUGCCAGCCGUUCACUAAAUAAUUAUUUAUUAAAUGUCUAAAGUCCGAAAUUUUAUUAAUUUUAAAUUUUUUGAAAAUUUCAUUAAUUUAUUUUUUAAAACUUAUGUCUCAUUUUCAGAUAUUUACAUGGGAAUAGAAAAAAUAAAAUUUUGUGACUUUUAUCUAAAUAAAAAAAUGUCUAAAUAACAAAUAAAUAUUAUAUUCCAAAAAUAUCUAUGCAAAAUAAUUUAUUUCUUAAAUUAUAAAAUGUAAUCCUCUUUUUUUGUUUUAAUUUCCAAAGACAUAAAUGUCAAACAACUAAAUUUAAGAUGUUUUUUAUUGUAAAAAUAAAUAAAAUAUCACUUAUAUUCAGAUAUUAAAAAAAAACAAACAAACAUGACAUUAAGAUUUUCGUAUUCAUACCCAUUCAGACUUUAGAAAAACUCAGACUUAUUUAAAUUUUAGACAAAAAAAACAUAAUCCAAAUUUAAGCAGGAGAUCUCAAUUUAAUAAUUCAUCACAUCACAUAGCCGCAAACCACCUAUAUCGUAACAGGCAUAUCGGUGGCUUUCAAUACCAGACACGGUAAUUUAUUCAUACAGAUAGUACAGUAGUAGGAUUUAUUUUUAUGCAAGUGUUUUGCAAAACUCCUCCUACCAUGACAUCAUUAUUCCGACUGAAUUUCCUUCAGAAAAUCUUCAUUGUCAACCAGGACCUACAAAUCGACACAAAAUAACCAUAACAUGAGCGACCAUUGCUUGGAAUGUUAAUACAAAAAAUAAAAAUACAUUCAUUUUUUAUGCAUUAAGUGCCGCAAAUGAGAAAAAUGAUCACUUAAAAGAUAUCAGAGAAAAUUACCGUUUUCCAGCCAUCUGGGUCUAGGAAAGAGGUGAUUUUGGUGUUGAGUCCAGGGAUUGAUCCGGGUUGCCGAGUUAUCUUCCCUCCAAGCUCUUGGGUAACCAGGUUGACAACCUCAGCACUUUUGUAUACAUCAUCAGUACUAAUAGCAACCUACAAAUGAUACCACAAUCAUGAAAAAUAAGGGUGUUCUCAAAUUAAGAAAUAGUCGCUGAUGCUUCCACUAGGACUUAUAUUUAGCUGAUGCUUCCACUAGGACUUAUAUUU
RNAcentral lists this long non-coding RNA (4234 nucleotides) under Citrus x clementina. Its description in RNAcentral is "Citrus clementina (C. clementina) long non-coding RNA (CCLE_LNC005767)". The record is from RNAcentral. Lineage: Eukaryota; Viridiplantae; Streptophyta; Magnoliopsida; Sapindales; Rutaceae.